CCUUUAAGUGAACUGCAUACUCAGAAUUUUUCUGCGUAUGAUUCAGCCUUGCGACCGUACUCCCCAGGCGGCGAGCUUAACGGCUUCCCUGCGACACUUCGAUCGCGAACUGCGAUCGAAUCAUCUAGCUCGCAUCGUUUACGGCUGGGACUACCCGGGUAUCUAAUCCGGUUCGCUCCCCCAGCUUUCACCCCUCACCGUCGAGCGCGUUCUGGCGGACCGCCUUCGCCACUGGUGGUCUUCCGCGGAUCAAAGGAUUUUACCCCUACACGCGGAGUACCGUCCGCCUCUCCCGCCUCCUAGUCUCGCAGUAUCUCCUGCAGGCCAGCCGUUGAGCAGCUGGAUUUAACAGAAGACUUACGAAACCGGCUACGGGUGCUUUAGGCCCAAUAAUCGUCCCGACCACUCGAGGAGCUGGUAUUACCGCGGCGGCUGACAC
This 439-nucleotide ribosomal RNA is filed under the name uncultured archaeon. Its description in RNAcentral is "partial 16S ribosomal RNA". The record is from RNAcentral.